This 1154-nucleotide long non-coding RNA is filed under the name Homo sapiens (human). RNAcentral describes it as "HSALNT0032455". The stretch from base 519 to 622 matches the Rfam family "Small nucleolar RNA U13". The record is from RNAcentral. Lineage: Eukaryota; Metazoa; Chordata; Mammalia; Primates; Hominidae.
ACUGCCCCAAAGGCUGAGACUGGGAAACAGACCCUAUGCUGUGGACUGAAUUAUACCCCCCCCACCCCAAAUUCACAUGUUGAAGCUCUAACCCCCAAUACGGUAGUAUUUUCUUUUGGAGAUAGAGUUAGAUGAGCUCAUGAGGGUGGGGCCUUCAUAAUGAGAUUGGGGUCUUUAUAAGAAGAGGCACCAGAGAGUUUGCUCUCCUACCACAAAGAGGUCAUGUGAGCCCACAGCAAGAUGAUGGCUGCCUGUGAGCCAAGAGAAGAGGCUUCAGAAUGAAACCUACUUGCUGGCACCUUGAUCUUAGACUUCCAGCCUCCAGAACUAUGAGAAGUAAAUUCCUGUUUAAACACUCAGCCUAUAGUAUUUUGUUACAACAGCCCAAAUUGACUAAUUACAGUCUGGUGGCCCCCAGUAUCAAAGUCAGCAACAAAGUUAACAUAGAGCUUUCUUAGGCCAGCUUUUCCACACAGAGGGCAAUCUCCUAAAAGUAGUGUGAACACUGGGACAAUGUGAUCCUUCUGUAGUUCAUAAGCAUCAUGCCUGGGUUUUCGCGUUCCCAUGUGAGCUGUGCCUCCCUCAAACCUUGUUAUGGCAUCGGCACAUUAUCCAUCUGAUGUGAAAAAGAAAAAAAAAAAGGAAGAAAAUAUAAUUAAAAGGAGAAUCAAUGUGAGAGGGAAGGACAUAAGCAUAAUACUGUAAAACCAAUGGAAGGCUUGAUGAAACUUAAAACUAGGAAGUUCUAUUUUAAGAAAUUGCAACAUGCAGUUUAACUGUUUCUGGAUUUCUUUGCCGGCUGAAAAGUGGGGAUGAUGAAUUGACACCCACUGCAGGGGCAUUUUGUUGCCUCAGCAAGUUUCAUGCAGCUGCUUCAGUACUGACUACUGCGGUAGCUGCUGACAGCGUCUCCCGAGGGUCCCCAGCUAAGAGCCCUUAGACUACAUGAGUGGACUAGGACACAAAUUACCUGUGCCAAAAAGGUUUGCCUUGCCUUUGGGAAAACCUCAUCUUCCCUAGAGGGAAAUUCUUUUUUUUUUUCCUGAGACAGAGCCUCAGUCUGUCACCCAGGCUGGAGUGCAGUGGUGCGAUCUUGGCUUACUGCAACCUCCACCUCCUGGGUUCAAGCAAUUCCCAUGCCUCAGCCUCCCGAG